UUUUAAACUGAGUUACGGCGUCGAGGAAACGAGCGGCUCCGCUUUGCUCCAUCUUCUCUGCGUCUGUGAACGCUGCUAUAGCAACGGUCAAACUUGGUGGCACGUGACCGGAAACGGAAGUCACCAACAAACUGGCAAACAGCUUUCUUCACCCACUGGAGUCAUAAAAUCUGCCUCUGCCUCAAAUGGAUGGACAGUUCGAGACAUGAGCAGACAGACACAUCAGGCAGGAGGAGGUGAGGCAGAUGGUCGAGUAGGGAGGAAAGGGCUCGUUGGAGGAUGUCACGCAAGCAUGGUCUCAUUUAUGAGGUCCUCAAGUGUUCUCAAGAGAAAUGUGGAGGAUAUUAUAUCAGGCAUCUUCAGUGACUGAAGCCAAAUGAGUGGAUUUUGCCCAACUAAACAUUACAGAGACGUGAAUAUGCAGAAUAAAACAGCAUCUGAUUUUGGG
Long non-coding RNA from Betta splendens (Siamese fighting fish), 448 nucleotides. RefSeq lists it as uncharacterized. NCBI's taxonomy places the organism in Eukaryota, Metazoa, Chordata, Actinopteri, Anabantiformes, Osphronemidae. The transcript is spliced from 3 exons. The record is from RefSeq and is a predicted model, not a curated record.